This 2923-nucleotide ribosomal RNA is filed under the name Klebsiella pneumoniae. RNAcentral describes it as "bacterial LSU rRNA". It matches the Rfam family "Bacterial large subunit ribosomal RNA". The record is from RNAcentral. Lineage: Bacteria; Pseudomonadati; Pseudomonadota; Gammaproteobacteria; Enterobacterales; Enterobacteriaceae.
GGGUUGUGAGGUUAAGCGACUAAGCGUACACGGUGGAUGCCCUGGCAGUCAGAGGCGAUGAAGGACGUGCUAAUCUGCGAAAAGCGUCGGUAAGGUGAUAUGAACCGUUACAGCCGGCGAUGUCCGAAUGGGGAAACCCAGUGCAAUUCGUUGCACUAUCGUUAACUGAAUACAUAGGUUAACGAGGCGAACCGGGGGAACUGAAACAUCUAAGUACCCCGAGGAAAAGAAAUCAACCGAGAUUCCCCCAGUAGCGGCGAGCGAACGGGGAGCAGCCCAGAGUCUGAAUCAGCUUGUGUGUUAGUGGAACGGUCUGGAAAGUCCGACGGUACAGGGUGAUAGUCCCGUACACCAAAAUGCACAGGCUGUGAACUCGAAGAGUAGGGCGGGACACGUGGUAUCCUGUCUGAAUAUGGGGGGACCAUCCUCCAAGGCUAAAUACUCCUGACUGACCGAUAGUGAACCAGUACCGUGAGGGAAAGGCGAAAAGAACCCCGGCGAGGGGAGUGAAAAAGAACCUGAAACCGUGUACGUACAAGCAGUGGGAGCACCUUCGGGUGUGACUGCGUACCUUUUGUAUAAUGGGUCAGCGACUUAUAUUCUGUAGCAAGGUUAACCGUAUAGGGGAGCCGCAGGGAAACCGAGUCUUAACUGGGCGUUAAGUUGCAGGGUAUAGACCCGAAACCCGGUGAUCUAGCCAUGGGCAGGUUGAAGGUUGGGUAACACUAACUGGAGGACCGAACCGACUAAUGUUGAAAAAUUAGCGGAUGACUUGUGGCUGGGGGUGAAAGGCCAAUCAAACCGGGAGAUAGCUGGUUCUCCCCGAAAGCUAUUUAGGUAGCGCCUCGUGAAUUCAUCUUCGGGGGUAGAGCACUGUUUCGGCUAGGGGGUCAUCCCGACUUACCAACCCGAUGCAAACUACGAAUACCGAAGAAUGUUAUCACGGGAGACACACGGCGGGUGCUAACGUCCGUCGUGAAGAGGGAAACAACCCAGACCGCCAGCUAAGGUCCCAAAGUCAUGGUUAAGUGGGAAACGAUGUGGGAAGGCACAGACAGCCAGGAUGUUGGCUUAGAAGCAGCCAUCAUUUAAAGAAAGCGUAAUAGCUCACUGGUCGAGUCGGCCUGCGCGGAAGAUGUAACGGGGCUAAACCAUGCACCGAAGCUGCGGCAGCGACACUAUGUGUUGUUGGGUAGGGGAGCGUUCUGUAAGCCUGCGAAGGUGUGCUGUGAGGCAUGCUGGAGGUAUCAGAAGUGCGAAUGCUGACAUAAGUAACGAUAAAGCGGGUGAAAAGCCCGCUCGCCGGAAGACCAAGGGUUCCUGUCCAACGUUAAUCGGGGCAGGGUGAGUCGACCCCUAAGGCGAGGCCGAAAGGCGUAGUCGAUGGGAAACAGGUUAAUAUUCCUGUACUUGGUGUUACUGCGAAGGGGGGACGGAGAAGGCUAUGUUAGCCGGGCGACGGUUGUCCCGGUUUAAGCAUGUAGGCUGGUUGUCCAGGCAAAUCCGGAUAAUCAAGGCUGAGGUGUGAUGACGAGGCACUACGGUGCUGAAGUAACAAAUGCCCUGCUUCCAGGAAAAGCCUCUAAGCAUCAGGUAACAUCAAAUCGUACCCCAAACCGACACAGGUGGUCAGGUAGAGAAUACCAAGGCGCUUGAGAGAACUCGGGUGAAGGAACUAGGCAAAAUGGUGCCGUAACUUCGGGAGAAGGCACGCUGGUGUGUAGGUGAAGUCCCUGCGGAUGGAGCUGAGACCAGUCGAAGAUACCAGCUGGCUGCAACUGUUUAUUAAAAACACAGCACUGUGCAAACACGAAAGUGGACGUAUACGGUGUGACGCCUGCCCGGUGCCGGAAGGUUAAUUGAUGGGGUUAUCCGUAAGGAGAAGCUCUUGAUCGAAGCCCCGGUAAACGGCGGCCGUAACUAUAACGGUCCUAAGGUAGCGAAAUUCCUUGUCGGGUAAGUUCCGACCUGCACGAAUGGCGUAAUGAUGGCCAGGCUGUCUCCACCCGAGACUCAGUGAAAUUGAACUCGCUGUGAAGAUGCAGUGUACCCGCGGCAAGACGGAAAGACCCCGUGAACCUUUACUAUAGCUUGACACUGAACAUUGAGCCUUGAUGUGUAGGAUAGGUGGGAGGCUUUGAAGCGUGGACGCCAGUCUGCGUGGAGCCAACCUUGAAAUACCACCCUUUAAUGUUUGAUGUUCUAACGUUGGCCCCUUACCGGGGUUGCGGACAGUGUCUGGUGGGUAGUUUGACUGGGGCGGUCUCCUCCCAAAGCGUAACGGAGGAGCACGAAGGUUAGCUAAUCCUGGUCGGACAUCAGGAGGUUAGUGCAAUGGCAUAAGCUAGCUUGACUGCGAGCGUGACGGCGCGAGCAGGUGCGAAAGCAGGUCAUAGUGAUCCGGUGGUUCUGAAUGGAAGGGCCAUCGCUCAACGGAUAAAAGGUACUCCGGGGAUAACAGGCUGAUACCGCCCAAGAGUUCAUAUCGACGGCGGUGUUUGGCACCUCGAUGUCGGCUCAUCACAUCCUGGGGCUGAAGUAGGUCCCAAGGGUAUGGCUGUUCGCCAUUUAAAGUGGUACGCGAGCUGGGUUUAGAACGUCGUGAGACAGUUCGGUCCCUAUCUGCCGUGGGCGCUGGAGAAUUGAGGGGGGCUGCUCCUAGUACGAGAGGACCGGAGUGGACGCAUCACUGGUGUUCGGGUUGUCAUGCCAAUGGCACUGCCCGGUAGCUAAAUGCGGAAGAGAUAAGUGCUGAAAGCAUCUAAGCACGAAACUUGCCCCGAGAUGAGUUCUCCCUGAGACUUUAAGUCUCCUGAAGGAACGUUAAAGACGAUGACGUUGAUAGGCCGGGUGUGUAAGCGCAGCGAUGCGUUGAGCUAACCGGUACUAAUGAACCGUGAGGCUUAACCUUACAACGCCGAAG